AUGUGUGGAUGGUGUUCAGCACCAGGGACAUGUGUGUUUACCUGUGUGUGUGGAUGGUGUUCAGCACCAGGGGCAGGUGUGUUUACCU
Molecule: microRNA precursor, 88 nt
Filed under: Branchiostoma floridae (Florida lancelet)
Lineage: Eukaryota; Metazoa; Chordata; Leptocardii; Amphioxiformes; Branchiostomatidae
Description: mir-2060 microRNA precursor family
Rfam family: mir-2060 microRNA precursor family
Source: Rfam by way of RNAcentral